This 287-nucleotide unclassified non-coding RNA is filed under the name Hevea brasiliensis (rubber tree). The record is from RNAcentral. Lineage: Eukaryota; Viridiplantae; Streptophyta; Magnoliopsida; Malpighiales; Euphorbiaceae.
UACUGAGGAAAUUGUUGGCCCUGUGGUGUCUGAUUUAUUUGAUUCUGUGUUGGCUGUGGAGCCAUCCUAGAGAUGUCUUGCAUUUGGGGCGUUCGAUAUUGAGGAUCAGAAGCAAGAUAUUGGCUCUGAGGGUGCUGGGUUUGGGCUGGAGGCAAAUAAUAAGAUUGCUGUUGGGUCACGUUCUGAGGUCGUGCUUGGGUCAGUGGGGGCACAGGUGCAGGCUGUUGCUGUGGCACUACUUGGCGGGGCAAAGCAAGAGCCAACUGUUGGGUAUGUAUUUCAGGUGU